UACACUCCUACGGGAGGCAGCAGUGGGGAAUUUUGGACAAUGGGGGCAACCCUGAUCCAGCAAUGCCGCGUGAGUGAAGAAGGCCUUCGGGUUGUAAAGCUCUUUUGUCAGGGAAGAAACGGUGGUGGCGAAUAACUACUACUAAUGACGGUACCUGAAGAAUAAGCACCGGCUAACUACGUGCCAGCAGCCGCGGUAAUACGUAGGGUGCAAGCGUUAAUCGGAAUUACUGGGCGUAAAGCGUGCGCAGGCGGUUGUGUAAGUCAGAUGUGAAAUCCCCGGGCUCAACCUGGGAAUUGCAUUUGAGACUGCACGGCUAGAGUGUGUCAGAGGGGGGUAGAAUUCCACGUGUAGCAGUGAAAUGCGUAGAUAUGUGGAGGAAUACCGAUGGCGAAGGCAGCCCCCUGGGAUAACACUGACGCUCAUGCACGAAAGCGUGGGGAGCAAACAGGAUUAGAAACCCGUGUAGUCC
RNAcentral lists this ribosomal RNA (472 nucleotides) under uncultured organism. RNAcentral describes it as "partial 16S ribosomal RNA". It matches the Rfam family "Bacterial small subunit ribosomal RNA", at positions 332 to 796 of the family's 1533-position model. The record is from RNAcentral.